GACGAACGCUGGCGGCGUGCUUAACACAUGCAAGUCGAGCGGUAAGGCCUCUUUGGGGGUACACGAGCGGCGAACGGGUGAGUAACACGUGGGUGACCUGCCCUUCACUCUGGGAUAAGCCUGGGAAACUGGGUCUAAUACCGGAUAUUCACUGCCUGUUGCAUGGUGGGUGGUGGAAAGUUUUUUCGGUGGGGGAUGGGCCCGCGGCCUAUCAGCUUGUUGGUGGGGUGAUGGCCUACCAAGGCGACGACGGGUAGCCGGCCUGAGAGGGCGACCGGCCACACUGGGACUGAGACACGGCCCAGACUCCUACGGGAGGCAGCAGUGGGGAAUAUUGCGCAAUGGGCGGAAGCCUGACGCAGCGACGCCGCGU
This 373-nucleotide ribosomal RNA is filed under the name uncultured bacterium. RNAcentral describes it as "bacterial SSU rRNA". It matches the Rfam family "Bacterial small subunit ribosomal RNA", at positions 28 to 402 of the family's 1533-position model. The record is from RNAcentral.